Canis lupus familiaris (dog) is the source of this 272-nucleotide RNA transcript. It is a transcript of the gene named nebulin-like, with no coding region annotated. The transcript is spliced from 4 exons. NCBI's taxonomy places the organism in Eukaryota, Metazoa, Chordata, Mammalia, Carnivora, Canidae. The record is from RefSeq and is a predicted model, not a curated record.
AGGAGGCUUAUGCACUGCAGAGUGAUGUUGAAUACAAGGCUGACUACAACAGCUGGAUGAAAGGUUGUGGCUGGGUGCCUUUUGGAUCCUUAGAAAUGGGAAAGGCAAAGAGAGCUUCAGACACCCUAAAUGAGGUAGCAUACAAAGCCAGAGGAGAAGAACUUCUUCACAAGUACAACCUGCCAGCCGACCUGCCCCAGUUCAUCCAGGCUAAAGUUAAUGCCUACAGUAUCAAUGAGAAUAUGUACAAAAACAGGCUUGAAAGAUUUGAG